AAUUGGAGGGCAAGUCUGGUGCCAACAGCCGCGGUAAUUCCAGCUCCAAUAGCGUAUAUUAAAGUUGUUGCAGUUAAAAAGCUCGUAGUUGAAUUUCGGGGUCAGUAGAUUGGUCGUGCCACUGGUAUGUACUGGUCUUACUGGCUCCUCCUUCCUGAUGAACCGUAAUGCCAUUAAUUUGGUGUUGCGGGGAGACUGGACUGUUACUUUGAAAAAAUUAGAGUGUUUAAAGCAGGCUAACGCUUGAAUACAUUAGCAUGGAAUAAUGAAAUAGGACGUUCGAUCUUAUUUUGUUGGUUUCUAGGAUUGACGUAAUGAUUAAUAGGGAUAGUUGGGGGCAUUAGUAUUCAAUUGUCAGAGGUGAAAUUCUUGGAUUUAUUGAAGACUAACUACUGCGAAAGCAUUUGCCAAGGAUGUUUUCAUUAAUCAAGAACGAAAGUUAGGGGAUCGAAGACGAUCAGAUACCGUCGUAGUCUUAACCAUAAACUAUGCCGACUAGGGAUCGGAUGAUGUUAAUUUUUUAAUGACUCAUUCGGCGCCUUACGGGAAACCAAAGUGU
This 559-nucleotide ribosomal RNA is filed under the name uncultured Glomus. RNAcentral's name for it is "SSU rRNA". It matches the Rfam family "Eukaryotic small subunit ribosomal RNA", at positions 546 to 1106 of the family's 1831-position model. The record is from RNAcentral. Lineage: Eukaryota; Fungi; Glomeromycota; Glomeromycetes; Glomerales; Glomeraceae.